GUCAGGUACCAUGGUACCUGUAGUCCUAGCUACUUGGGAGGCUGAGACAGGAGAAUUACUUGAAUACAGGAGUUCUGGACUUCAGUGCAGUAUGUCACUCGGGUGUCCACAUUAAGUUCAGCAUCAAUAUGUUGACCUUGUGGGAGGAAGAAACCACCAGGUUGUCUAAGGAGGGGUGAAUAGGCUCAAGUUGGAAACAGAGCAGAUUAAAACUUCCAUACUAAUCAGUAGUGGCAUCUUACCUGUGAACAGCCACUGCCCUUCAAACUGUGCAACAUAGGGAGACAUCUAUUCU
RNAcentral lists this signal recognition particle RNA (295 nucleotides) under Aotus nancymaae (Ma's night monkey). RNAcentral's name for it is "Metazoan signal recognition particle RNA (ENSANAG00000008578.1)". It matches the Rfam family "Metazoan signal recognition particle RNA". Rfam says of the family: The signal recognition particle (SRP) is a universally conserved ribonucleoprotein. It is involved in the co-translational targeting of proteins to membranes. The eukaryotic SRP consists of a 300-nucleotide 7S RNA and six proteins: SRPs 72, 68, 54, 19, 14, and 9. The record is from RNAcentral. Lineage: Eukaryota; Metazoa; Chordata; Mammalia; Primates; Aotidae.